Long non-coding RNA from Coregonus clupeaformis (lake whitefish), 434 nucleotides. RefSeq lists it as uncharacterized. NCBI's taxonomy places the organism in Eukaryota, Metazoa, Chordata, Actinopteri, Salmoniformes, Salmonidae. The record is from RefSeq and is a predicted model, not a curated record. The transcript has 3 exons.
GCCGCCCGUGUGGAUGUGGAACACAGUUUAAUUUGUUUUAAUUUGUUUGCAAUGCGCACUUUUAUGCUGCCCGCUUGAAACCACCACCACCUCCGUUUUUAUCAUUAGUCUUAUUGCCCUCGUUUUCUUAAGCGCCAUCUUAUCAUCACCUCUGAUUUGCAGGUUUCCUGGAUGAACUACAUUUCCCAUAAUGCAUGUUUGCCCAGGACAUUGACGGUGGAGGAAGGUCCAUGAGUUUUCGCUGUUCGCCGGUAAUGCAAGUGCGUACUGCUCAAGUGUGUGAUUGUGAGAUCAUCUCGAAAUCCUUUUAACAGUUCAGGUAGGAUGUAUUAUGAAAUAGUGUUACUAAUGUAAUACAUUGCUAAAACCAAGUAUAGAGUGUAUUUGUUAUAAUUCAUUGGUAUUAGAUUUAAAAGGUGAUCGAAUAGCUCCUG